UACGAAGGGGGCUAGCGUUGCUCGGAAUCACUGGGCGUAAAGGGUGCGUAGGCGGGUCUUUAAGUCAGGGGUGAAAUCCUGGAGCUCAACUCCAGAACUGCCUUUGAUACUGAAGAUCUUGAGUUCGGGAGAGGUGAGUGGAACUGCCGAGUGUAGAGGUGAAAUUCGUAGAUAUUCGCAAGAACACCAGUGGCGAAGGCGGCUCACUGGCCCGAUACUGACGCUGAUGCACGAAAGCGUGGGGGAGCAAACAGG
RNAcentral lists this ribosomal RNA (255 nucleotides) under uncultured bacterium. Its description in RNAcentral is "partial 16S ribosomal RNA". It matches the Rfam family "Bacterial small subunit ribosomal RNA", at positions 524 to 776 of the family's 1533-position model. The record is from RNAcentral.